This 326-nucleotide ribosomal RNA is filed under the name uncultured bacterium. RNAcentral describes it as "bacterial SSU rRNA". It matches the Rfam family "Bacterial small subunit ribosomal RNA", at positions 30 to 354 of the family's 1533-position model. The record is from RNAcentral.
AUUGAACGCUGGCGGCAUGCCUUACACAUGCAAGUCGAACGGCAGCGGACCUUCGGGUGCCGGCGAGUGGCGAACGGGUGAGUAAAGUAUCGGAACGUACCUUUCAGUGGGGGGAUAACGUAGCGAAAGUUACGCUAAUACCGCAUAUUCUGUGAGCAGGAAAGCAGGGGAUCGCAAGACCUUGCGCUGAUUGAGCGGCCGAUAUCAGGAUUAGCUAGUUGGUGAAGGUAAAGGCUCACCAAGGCGACGAUCUGUAGCGGGUCUGAGAGGAUGAUCCGCCACACUGGAACUGAGACACGGUCCAGACUCCGUACGGGAGGCAGCAG